AAUCAUUUCCUGUUUCAUCAACUUUCCUUUAUGCUUUACUCAAAUGUCAUGAGAAUAAGAUAUUCUUGUAAAUUUAGGGUGAGUUUGGAUGGGCGGUGCGUUUAUCUGCGGUUAGUGUAAAAACAGCGGUGGCGGUAAGAUUAGAUACUGUAGCGUGAGACAAAAAAUAAGCUAAACGCACUUUAGGUCUCCAAAUACAUUCUUUCAGGCUUAUCGAUACUACUAUAAAAUCACCCCAACCCUAACGCAACGACAGUAAACAAAGGUUAA
RNAcentral lists this long non-coding RNA (270 nucleotides) under Gossypium raimondii (Peruvian cotton). RNAcentral describes it as "long non-coding RNA (GRAI_LNC004252)". Lineage: Eukaryota; Viridiplantae; Streptophyta; Magnoliopsida; Malvales; Malvaceae. The record is from RNAcentral.